CCGUCACUGGGCCUAUGCAGUAGGGAGUUGUUUGGCGAACCCCGCAAGUUUUUCUUGACUUUACUUGUCAUUUUGUGAUUACACACGCAAGCGGUCACUUUUUUUAACUUAUUUGUUUAUUUUUAUAGCACUGCUCGCUUCGCUUUUCACUCAUUACGCUUCCUUCAGCUGUAAAGAUACGGUCUUUCGGGGCGUGGUACACAACAAACAAUAAAUUUAAAAAAAAAAAAAAAAAAAAAAAAAGAGCCGGAGACGGAAGGGGAGCCUCUGUAAAUUCUGGCUGACCGCGGCUGAGCUUAUGAUGCCGACGUUGCGGGACAGCACAAUGUCCCACCCCGGUGAGAAUUCCCACCAAGUCCGGGUGAAAGCCUACUACAAAGGGGACAUCAUGAUCACCCACUUUGAGCCGUCCAUCUCGUAUGAGGGACUGUAUGGCGAAGUCCGGGAGAUGUGCUCCAUGGACAACGACCAGCUCUUCACCAUGAAGUGGAUUGACGAGGAAGGUGACCCAUGCACAGUGUCGUCUCAGCUGGAGCUGGAAGAAGCGCUGCGCCUCUACGAGCUCAACAAAGACUCGGAGCUCAUUAUCCACGUGUUUCCAUGUAUACCAGAGAAACCUGGCAUGCCCUGUCCUGGGGAAGACAAGUCCAUAUAUCGGCGAGGAGCGCGGCGCUGGAGGAAGCUCUACUUUGCCAGUGGCCACGCCUUUCAGGCCAAACGCUUUAACAGGAGAGCACAUUGUGCCAUCUGCACGGACCGCAUCUGGGGUCUCGGCCGACAGGGCUACAAGUGCAUCAACUGCAAACUGCUGGUGCACAAGAAGUGCCACAAGCUGGUCACCGUGGAGUGUGGCCGGCCCAUGAUCCAGGAGCCAAUUAUGCCUGGUCAACCUCCCAGUCAGUUAGACCCAACGGAACAGCCAGGCCCUCAGAAUAAAGACUCCAGAGAAAGCUUGACUUACGAUGGAGAGGAGAAAGAGGCGCGGAACAGCCGAGACACGGGGAAGUCGCCCUCCAGCCUCGGCCUGGCCGACUUCGACCUGCUGCGGGUGAUCGGCCGCGGCAGCUACGCCAAAGUGCUGCUUGUGCAGCUGAAGAAGACAGAGCGCAUCUACGCCAUGAAGGUGGUCAAGAAGGAGUUGGUCAACGACGACGAGGACAUCGACUGGGUCCAGACAGAAAAACAUGUUUUUGAGCAAGCGUCCAAUCAUCCCUUCCUGGUGGGCCUGCACUCCUGCUUCCAGACAGAAAGCAGACUCUUCUUUGUUAUUGAAUAUGUGAACGGCGGCGACCUCAUGUUCCACAUGCAGAGACAACGGAAGCUUCCGGAAGAGCACGCCAGGUUCUAUUCCGCAGAGAUCAGUCUGGCGCUAAACUACCUCCACGAGCGCGGCAUCAUCUACAGAGAUCUCAAGUUGGACAAUGUGCUGCUUGACUCUGAGGGACACAUCAAACUCACAGACUAUGGCAUGUGCAAGGAGGGCUUGAGACCCGGUGAUACGACGAGCACUUUCUGCGGCACCCCCAACUACAUUGCUCCCGAAAUACUCAGAGGAGAAGAUUACGCCUUCAGUGUGGACUGGUGGGCGCUGGGCGUGCUAAUGUUCGAGAUGAUGGCGGGCCGGUCACCCUUCGACAUCGUGGGAAGCUCUGACAAUCCCGACCAGAACACAGAAGACUACCUCUUCCAAGUCAUAUUGGAAAAACAGAUCCGAAUUCCCCGCUCGUUGUCUGUCAAAGCCGCCAGCGUCCUCAAGGGAUUCCUCAACAAGGAUUCCAAGGAGCGUCUGGGGUGUCACCCUCAGACGGGCUUCGCCGACAUCAUGGGCCAUCCCUUCUUCAGAAACGUCGACUGGGACCUUCUGGAGCAAAAGCAGGUGGUUCCCCCCUUCAAGCCCAACAUCUCGGGCGAAUUCGGCCUGGACAACUUCGACGCCCAGUUCACCAACGAGCCCAUCCAGCUGACGCCCGACGACGAUGACGUGGUGAAAAAGAUCGACCAGUCUGAGUUCGAGGGCUUCGAGUACAUCAACCCGCUGCUGAUGUCGGCCGAGGAGUGUGUGUGAAGGGAGAUACGCACAAACACGCACUUGCAUACACACGUGCCAUCUCAGUGUCUUCACGCUGUGUGGUUACGAGGCAACCCGGCGACAUCAUCAGUCAUAGUUUUCGUUGUUGCCAAAAGCAGUUUCACACUCUGCCAGUUAUAACCACUCGUCCUUAAGUCUUCUCUCUAUGAAUUAUUUUUAUAUCCUCUCUAUACAAAUAUACAAAUGUAUAAAUAUUACCUGCACUGAUAUUGUCAUCGGGGGCCUCUACCAAGUUCUUCCAAGGUUAUUUACUGUACACAGACUCAUUUUAUUUGUAUAUACGAAACUGCUGUUGAUCAAUGUUAGCCCUCUUUUUUAGCGCAGUCAUUGGAAUCACACCUCCUCUUUCUCCAAACACUAAAUAUGAAACUAUAUAUUUUUAUUUAACUACAGCUGUUAUGUGUGUUGUCCGUUUGUGGCCUGAGAAUAAGAACUGGAGUUGAGUCAGCUAAAAUACUGUGAACAAACAUAGCGUGUGUUAGCCUGACUUAAACAUUCACGCAGGACCCCAAAAAAAAACGUUGCUGGUACGCAUCUAUCUAGAAAUAAGCGUAUUUCCUCAACUAGUGGCCUUACUCUUCCGAUCCGGAAGACAAAUGAGUAAUAAGUGUAUUGAUCUCUGUUCAAAGAUAUUAAAGCGUUAACAGCUGGGCGGGUUUGCGAACUCUGUUGCUGGACGCAGCAUCGCAUACCGAGGAGUCGUGUAGAAUCUUACUGCACGUUUUAAACUAGCUUCCUCUGCGGUAUUAAGGAUGAUCUGGGGGGAAGCGAAUGAAUUUGUGUGCAUCAAUGUUUGUUGUCCCGGUUAACUGGAUUCUCUUCGGUUUUACUUUUUAAUUACACUUUGACUUGAUGUAAUUUGUACUUAAUGGAUGCCUCAAUCAUCGGCUGUCGAGUAAGGCCACUUUUUGUGGAAAUGCGCAAGUAUCCUGUCAUGUUUGCUCCGUUUAUGCCUUUUAUGUACUCUUAUUUCUCCAUUCCAUGUAAAAAUCAACAGGUUGAAGUACAUUUGAUUGUUUCUUUAGAACUGUUAUAUUUUCCUUAAAAAAAAAAAUAUAUAUCUGUAGAUUAUUUUUCUGAAUGAUUCCACUAACUUAAAACACUAAGCAACGGAGCGCCAACAUCCGAUAAACAUUGUCUGUUACUUUAUUUUAUUCAUGUUAUUACUUUUUAUUUGUAAUCACCAGAUCAAGUACGAAAUGUUACUGGGUAUGUUUUGGAAGCCACCCAAAGGACUCUGCUGACAUUUUAUUAUUAGCGUGCAAAAGGGCAAAAAAAAAAAAAAAAAGUCAAAUAAAACAUUUUUUCUCCUUGUGGUAAAAAAAAUAUAUAUAUAUAUAUGUUUCCAUUAUUAAUUGUAUAAACAUGUCUGAUUGUACUCAAAGAAACAUUGGAGUACAUUUUGUUAUUCUAGUCAUGAUAGACAUUUCGACCGAAUCUUAUGUUGGGAAAUUGGUUUCAGGGGCAAACAUUUUCUGGGUUCGGAAUAGCCAUCCUAACCCCCCGUUGAGAAAUAAACAGGAGACUUUGGUCGUUUGGUUAUAACCGAUGCAGGCACCAACAUUUGCUGACCCUCUUAGUGCAAUCGCAAACUCCACAGUUUCCGCUUUAAUGCAGCACUACGGUUUUCUUGCUGCCCUUAGUCUCCUUUCAAAUUAAGUUUUCCGCGGGAACUGACUGCCCCAAACCAAAUUGGUGCCUUGCAGUGGAAAAGCAGCUUGUGCUCACAUGCUAACAUUAGUCAACCCUUUUAGUGCAAUGGUAUAUUCCACAAACUCCGCUUUGCCCAGAGCGUCAUGUUGAAAAGUUCAUAUAAGGAAACCGAUGCACAGCCGCAAAAAGACCGUUCUCGUCGCCCUCAGUCUCCUCUUGAAUAAAAUGUGGUUUCCCGCGGAACUGACGACCCCAAAUGGAGUUGGUACACUUCAGUGGAAAAGUGGUGGUACUUGUGAUCAACUGCUAACAUUAGCUUACGAGUGUAGUGGUAUACUCCACAGUCCCCACUUUGCUCCAGCGCUCCCGUUUUUUCACCCCUUUGUCUCCUCUCAGAGAAAAUGUGUUCCAGUUAGUUGUGGUAGCCUUGCAUUCAAAGCAAAUUAAGGGGACUUGAAAAUUGUUGAGCAUGAGUUUUUCUUCCCUUCACUCAUCACGUCUGUAGCCCCCCCCCCCCCUUCUAAAGCUCCCCCUUGACCUCCCUCGAGGGUCAUUGACACCAGAGCACCACCCCGCUCCGCAACCCUUUCUUUCGCUGACCUAACGCCCCGCAGGAACCAUAAGGGUCAUUGAAAUGAUGAUGUGCCGCAAAUAAUGAAGCCGAUUGAUUUGUGUGCAUCAAUAAGUCGGAGCAAUGGUGGGGGGGGGGGGUUAUUUUCACACACGGUCUCAGGUGAAUCACAUUUGUUGUUGGGGGCGGGGGGUGAAUGACUACAUCCAGUACAUAUGUCUUUGCAUAAUUGCUCAUCCCCAUAAUGGUUUCUUUGACAUUGUUCCCGUGCCCUCCCCUCCAUGAGAUGCAUCCCACCCUCCUAGGUCAUGUGACUGGACGGCACCCCUCGGAAGACACACGGCUGAUACAUUCACCUUGCUUCAUUAAUGACCGAUAAAAACACAUCCUCUUUUAAUUACUUUUAUCUUGUUGGAUGUUUUAUCCCUUCAACCCAACCCCAAAGGGACUAAUUAAGCAGCGGAAGACUGGUGCUCAACGCCGUCCCUUUUAUAAAACGCACACAUGCAGACUACAGUUGGUGUUUUACUUGGCAGGAGCUGACUGUGAUCUUGUGGAGCUGACUUAUGAGAGUUUAGUGUUUUAUGGCAAGUCAUCAAACUUCACCACCACACUGAGCCCACACGAAAUGACAAACUCAAAAUGCCUCACCAUUUAGUGUCGUCCAUCUGUCUAGAAUACGUAGUUCUAAUUUGGUACUAAUCAAACUAUGUGUCUUUUGGGGCAUGUGUUCUUAGACUUUUGUGCGUUGUGCGUGUGAUAAGACACUAAAUUUUAUGUUGUAAGUGACACUGGCUCCAGUGUCAAUAUUCCAGGGCAUGAUGCUAAAUGUGAAUUUUAAACAAAACUACCCUGCCAGAAACCAAAAUGGCAGUCUUCCUGUGUCUUUUGGGCAAUGGGAUCUUGUGACUUUUUUGCAGUAAUACUCAAUGCUGGAUAUUUGUAUUAAAUCUCAUGUUGAAUAGAAACUGACUUCAGGGGCUGGAUUUUUGAAAGAUUCUGCGAGAUCCUCCCAAAUGUAAGUUUUCAUCGAAAUGUCCCUGAACUGGUAGACUUCCAAUGUCUUUUGAGCAUUACAUCUUGAGACUUUUUCUGUGGUCUACUCAUGAUUGCCGCGGCUAGCAAAUAAUAUAUUGCUAAGUAAAACUGAGUUUGCGGGUUGAAUUUUCUUAACAUUCCGCGGAUGCUCCCAAAAGUAAUUAUUCACCAAUUGACCCUAAAAUGGCCACUUCAAACCAAAGUCGCAGACUUCCAGUGACUUUUCAGGCAUCGCUUCUUGAGACUUUUUUUUUGUGGUUCUACUCAUGAUAGACCUUGCUAUUAAUCUCGUUUUGUGAAACUGGCUUCAGUGGCUGAAAUUUUAAAACAUUCUGGGAAUGCUAGCGAUUCCAAGCAGAAAUUUUCACUAAUUGACCCUAAAAUGGCCACUUCAAACCAAAAUGGCAGACAUGCCGUAUGUGUUUAGGGAUGGGUUGUUUGGACUUUUUUGUGAGUGUACGCAGGAUAGACAUGUUUACAAAAUUGCGUGUUGCUUAGUGAAACUGACUUCAGGAGAAUACAUUUUCACAAAAUUCAUUCCUUGGUCCAUUAUGUCGGAACUGUUAUUGUUUCCAUUCUAGUCAUUUGCCUUUACGAUAAAUGCUAUUUGUCUUGGCAUCUACUUAGUAAAUUUAAUUAAUUGCAUUGUAUUGAGCAUUGGUUCCAUAACCUCUUGUAUGGUUCUCAUCAAACUUCUUAGCCAUCACUGGUACCACUCUCGGGCCUUCCGUGAUGAGUGACCCCUCGUGUGUAUUGACGUCAAGCAUCAUUACUGCGAACUACACGUACACGCCCCGAAUGGGCCCUGACACAUUUCAAUAUGCCGCAUUGAUUCCGACAUAUAAAGACGCCGCCGUUAUGUCCACCUCCCGUGGGUUCACUUAGCGCCCCGGGUCCAAUAACAGUUGAGACAGAGCGGCGGUGUCCUGGAUCAUCCUUCACUCAUUUUGUUUUCUAAUGAACCGUCACAUUAGCGCACGUACCAGAUGAAUGGAGUCCCCCUGCAGCACUUGUAGCUGUGUUAUUACAGCAUAAUUGAUGCCCCCCCCCCCCCCACACUCAAACCCCUUGUUGUUGUCGGGGGCGGGUACUCACAUCUGCUGUCAUAAUACAACUGCUGACCUUGCUGUCACAUCACAGCAGCUGCUGCAAAACAGCCCCGUGUUGUUUGAGAGGGCUCACUCUCCAUGUGUUGCAUCAGUCACAGUGUACUCGAUGCACAUAAAAUGACUGUUCACACGGAGCAUAGCUUUCCCUCGCUAGCUUACAAUGAACGAGAGCUAUACACAAAAAAACAAGUACUAUAAGGUAAUACUAAUUCCCUUUUUGAAGAGCCAUACUGUAUACUGAGCAGCCCUGACGAGUGGCAGUGAGUGCUUGCAUUGGUAUGUUGCUCAGUGAACCUGACUUCCACUCUGGUACGUCUCCUACCAAACAAAGUUGCACCAAAAUUACCCUAAAAUGGCUGAUUCAAACCAAAAAUGGCAGACUUCCUGUGCAUUUUCAAGCACUGGUACUUGAGACUUUUUCGUGAUAUACAUGCUGACCAGAUUCCAUGUUGCCUGGUGAAACAGGCUUCAGGGGCAGAAUUUUCUAAAUAUUCCAAGAGCUGCUACCGAUUGCAAAUUGUAACCAAAAUGACAGCUUUAAACCAAAAUGCUAACUGCUCACCGAAGAGUCUGUGUAAUGUAGUUUUUUCGUGUCGUCAUCGUACCUAGUGAGCUAAAUAGCUAACUAACAAAACUAGCUACAAAAAAAACAUCCAUCUAUCCAUCCUUUUUCUAUAUCCUGUUCAGCCUAUCCUAGUUGACUUUGGCCAAAAGGCGGAUUACACCCUCGAUUGGUAGUCAGUCUAUCACAGCACACAUAUCGAGACAGACAACCAUUCACUCUCACAUUCACAACAUCACUGAGUGGGAACUCAACCCACGCCGCCUGCAUUGAAGUCAGACAAAUGUACCACGACACCAUCAGUGACUAAACAACAAAUCAAAUCAUAAUUUAUCUUGCAGCGUAAUUCACACAACUAGCUAAAUCAAAACAUAUUUUCCUCUUUUAGCUAAAUUCAUGCUCAGCUAAUUACUAACUAGUUAACUACCAGAGGACUACCUACUUAAAUUAAGCCCAUUUUUUGUGUAAUUCCUGCUUUCUGUUAGUCACUAGCUAACUAACCAGCAAACUAAGUAAAAAAAAUACAUAACUAGUAAGCUAACUACCCAGCUAAGCAAAACAUAAUCGCUCUUUUAGCAUAAUUCAUGCUUGGCCAACAACAACCUAUCUGACUAACUAGCUAACAAACAAAUCUAUGCAUUUACUCUUUUAGUUCAUGUUAACUAACUAACUACCCAGGGUUGAACCCCGGUCCUCAGAACUGUGAGGCAGAUGUGCUAACCAGUCGUUCACCGUGCUGCCGCGAACUAACUCAUUAGCUUUAUUUAAAAAAACAAAAAAAAUACCAUAUGUCACUACUGGCGAACUACUGAUUAAAUAACUAGCUUCUUGCUAACUAGUUAGAACUAACUAAACUCAAAUUAUUAAAAUUUCUUUUCUAGCGUAAUUGAUGCUUGGCUAUCAAACAAGCUCGAUAACUAAAAACUAACUGCAAAUGAUGUCCUCGUUUUACGACGGAGUUCCGUUCCAAACACGACGACGUAACCCAGUCUACCAUUAAAAUAGUAAAGUUAUAAUUACAGUAAAUAUAUGAAACACUAAAACUAUCCAAGCAGGAAAUACAGCAAGUAGUGCAAUGACGGGCCGUCGCAAACCGAGGAGUCCGACUCGCAAGCGUAGCAACAUGGCCCCUUUAAAUAGUCCCGCCGCUGUCAAAUGUGUCUCCUAAUGCAGUCAAGAGGAAAUGGCAGCGAGACAGCCCGAGCCCGAGACCGAGACCGAGACAGAGACACCCCCGCACCGCUUCCUGUAGCCGCGAUGACGUCUCCGCCUCUAAAUCCUCGAUGCGGCGUGACGUCACAGGGCUGUAGUGGUGGUGGAGCCUCGUCUUGUUGACGCUCCGCCGCCGCCGCUAGACUUUUCCAGUACUGAGAAGACCCCCGGCGGGUGAGGAGCAAGCGGACGGAGGCAACAUUUCGGAACAUCGAAAAUUCUCCAUCAUGUGUGUGUCCAUCUACCGGAGGAUCAACGUUGUUUAAAAAAAAAAAAAAAAAGGGGGGGAAUAAAAAAAAAAAAAAAAGGAGCUGUUACAAAAA
RNA transcript from Phyllopteryx taeniolatus (common seadragon), 8557 nucleotides. It is a transcript of the gene named SKI-like proto-oncogene a, with no coding region annotated. The transcript is spliced from 19 exons. Lineage: Eukaryota; Metazoa; Chordata; Actinopteri; Syngnathiformes; Syngnathidae. The record is from RefSeq and is a predicted model, not a curated record.